ACUUUGGCCACCUCAUGAGAAGAGAAGACUCCCUGGAAAAGACCCUGAUGUUGGGAAAGAUUGAGGGCAGAAGAAGAAGGGGACGACAGAGGACGAGAUGGUUGGACAGCGUUCUCGAAGCUACAAACAUGAGUCUGACCAAACUGCGGGAGGCAGUGGAAGACAGGAGUGCCUGGCGUGCUCUAGUCCAUGGGGUCACGAAGAGUCGGUCACGACUAAACGACUAAACAACAACAACAUGCUGAUUAUCUGAGGCUGGUUAUCCCACAAUUAUUAGGUAUGAAUUACAAGGCAUCACACACACCUCAAAAUAGUGUGAUGUGUACAAAAAUGUGUGUUUUAGGCAGAAACGAGUACAUUCUGCCCCCCCCAUGCAAUUAACUCACACACACACACCUUGCAGUAAAAUGGACAGGCUUAUUAUCAAAUGCAUGAAAAACUGAACAGGAUGGAAAUAAUCUGACCGGUUCAUCCUUAUCCAUCCAGCCCAGCUCCACUCAAAGCAACUCUCAAGCAGAAACUUUUGACCGACAAAUUGCCUACCCUUUACAGGGCUGUUAGUCCCAGAUCUCAGCUGCCUGCCACCUCCUUGCCCCAAAUUGCUAGUCAUUGUUAGCCAACAGCUUCUGGCCUUUUCUUUUAUCAAUUACAUUAACUGGAAUUACGAAGCCAGAGAGCACCCUGUGACAGAAAUUAAGGCAAUUUGGAAUCCCUGCAGCUGUUUUCCUCCAAUGCAUCUAACAGAUGCAGUUCAUUAAGGUUGACUAAGAUAAAUGUCAGGAUUUGUGGGAUUCUUCUUAAGCUUUCUGCCCCCAUGUAUGGCACUGUGGGGAUGCAACGCUGUCUGCCAGGUCAAUUCAGCCAGACACUUUGAGUGAUUCAGGAGGCUGAGGGGUGUUGGUGUUGGUACAAACAGAGAGAGGGGAGAGACAUGCAUGUAAUGUUGUGAGUUAAAUGAUAUAGACAACAAGAAUGGCAACUGGCAUAAAGCACAAUUUGCAGAGAGACUCAUGAGCAUGUAAGAAUUGCACUGCUGGAUCAGACCGACGGCUCAUCUAGUCAGUGCUGGAUUAAACCCUGUGGAGGCCCCUCAGCAGUCAAAAUCUCAGGACAGGGGGCUCACAAGUACAACAGCAAACAAUAUUUAUACUUCUAUUUGUGAAUAUUCUACUAGGAAUCGGGGUCGGCGGGAACUUGUGACACACCAACUCACAGAAAGCUUUGUAUCUGGAUAUACCCUAGUAGGAUAAUAUUGAACUAAGAAAGCUUGGUUGUAAUUUUCUUUCAAGAUCAAAUCAAUAUUGUUUUGAUCCGUUGUCACGGGGCCCCUAAAAGAUGUGGGGCCCAUAGGCCAGUGCCUGCUCUGCUUAUUUGGUAAUCUUGCACUGCAUCUAGUCUAGCAUUCUUCUCUCACCAUUGCUGCCUGACAUGAGCCCCAUGGAGAGGGUGGGUAGGAUCCAAUUGACAUGCCCCUGUGCUCUCCUUUUGAAGAGUAGAGCAAGCAAAGUUAUUGGAACGGUUGAUGCCCUGAGCCUUGGGACUAGGCAAGCAAACAAGUAGUCCUCUGUAGAGGCUGGGCACACAUGGUUUAGUCACACCUUCACUGUUAUCCUUGGAGCCAGAGUUGAUGUUGCCAGCUUACUGGUGGACAUAUCCCCAGGCAUCUCCCCCCAGGGAGAGGCUCUUCAUUAACAGGGUAAGGCACCAGAGCCACCUCAAUAGCUGAUGGCAUAGAGUUUGUGGUGUCCAGUAUCGCAGAGAUGGGCUGCUCUUCUGACGGGCCACUGGAUCCAGUUCUCUCCCACCCAAUCUGCUGGGACCUUCCCCUGGGCAAGUCUCCUCUUGGGAUUCUGAGUUCUCAGCCCUCAACCCACUAGGACCUUUGCCUGGGUCAAUCUUUGCCAAUUUUCUGAGCUUCUCCCCUUCCUCCUUAUCACAGACCAUCCUUUCCAUGUCUCCGUGGGACUCAUGAU
Molecule: non-coding RNA, 1973 nt
Organism: Podarcis lilfordi (Lilford's wall lizard)
Lineage: Eukaryota; Metazoa; Chordata; Lepidosauria; Squamata; Lacertidae
Source: the annotation of a GenBank genome assembly